This 497-nucleotide ribosomal RNA is filed under the name uncultured bacterium. RNAcentral's name for it is "partial 16S ribosomal RNA". It matches the Rfam family "Bacterial small subunit ribosomal RNA", at positions 28 to 507 of the family's 1533-position model. The record is from RNAcentral.
GAUGAACGCUGGCGGCGUGCCUAAUACAUGCAAGUCGAGCGAACAGACGAGGAGCUUGCUCCUCUGACGUUAGCGGCGGACGGGUGAGUAACACGUGGAUAACCUACCUAUAAGACUGGGAUAACUUCGGGAAACCGGAGCUAAUACCGGAUAAUAUAUUGAACCGCAUGGUUCAAUAGUGAAAGACGGUUUUGCUGUCACUUAUAGAUGGAUCCGCGCCGCAUUAGCUAGUUGGUAAGGUAACGGCUUACCAAGGCAACGAUGCGUAGCCGACCUGAGAGGGUGUUCGGCCACACUGGAACUGAGACACGGUCCAUGCUCCUACAGGUGGCAGCAGUAGGGAAUCUUCCACCAAGCGCGCAAGCUUGACUGAGCAACGCCGCAUGAAUGAUGGAGGUCUUCGGAUCUUAAAACUCUGUUAUUAGGGAAGAACUAAUGUGUAAGUAACUAUGCACGUCUUGACGAUACCUAAUCAGAAAGCUACGGCUAACUACGUG